This 496-nucleotide ribosomal RNA is filed under the name uncultured bacterium. RNAcentral describes it as "partial 16S ribosomal RNA". It matches the Rfam family "Bacterial small subunit ribosomal RNA", at positions 30 to 523 of the family's 1533-position model. The record is from RNAcentral.
AUUGAACGCUGGCGGAAUGCUUUACACAUGCAAGUCGAACGGUAGAGGGGGCAACCCCUCGAGAGUGGCGAACGGGUGAGUAAUAUAUCGGAACGUGCCCAGUCGUGGGGGAUAACGUAGCGAAAGUUACGCUAAUACCGCAUACGAUCUAAGGAUGAAAGCGGGGGAUCGCAAGACCUCGCGCGAUUGGAGCGGCCGAUAUCAGAUUAGGUAGUUGGUGGGGUAAAGGCUCACCAAGCCAACGAUCUGUAGCUGGUCUGAGAGGACGACCAGCCACACUGGAACUGAGACACGGUCCAGACUCCGACGGGAGGCAGCAGUGGGGAAUUUUGGACAAUGGACGCAAGUCUGAUCCAGCCAUUCCGCGUGCAGGAUGAAGGCCCUCGGGUUGUAAACUGCUUUUGUACGGAACGAAAAGGUCUCUCUUAAUACGGGGGGCUCAUGACGGUACCGUAAGAAUAAGCACCGGCUAACUACGUGCCAGCAGCCGCCGCGG